Molecule: non-coding RNA, 136 nt
Organism: Caenorhabditis elegans
Lineage: Eukaryota; Metazoa; Nematoda; Chromadorea; Rhabditida; Rhabditidae
Source: Ensembl
CAAUUACCGAGAAAGUUGGGAGGUCUUUCCCUUCUUCUUUUUUCUUUCUUGUUUUGUCUCCUUUCGUCUUAUUUCGUCUUGCUCUCUUUUGGGUGCUCUGUCAUUUAAGAGUUAAGUUGCGGUUUGGGAGCCAACG